GCAAGUCGAACGGACCGUACACGUAGCUUUCUGCGUGUAUGGUUAGUGGCAGACGGGUGAGUAAUGCAUAGGAAUCUGCCUAGUAGUAUAGGAUAGCCACUAGAAGUGGUGGGUAAUACUGUAUAAUCCCUGCGGGGGAAAGAUUUAUCGCUACAUGAUGAGCCUAUGUUAGAUUAGCUAGUUGGUGGGGUAAUGGCCUACCAAGGCAGUGAUCUAUAGCUGGUCUGAGAGGAUGAUCAGCCACACUGGAACUGAGACACGGUCCAGACUCCUACGGGAGGCAGCAGUGGGGAAUAUUGGACAAUGGGCGCAAGCCUGAUCCAGCUAUGCCGCGUGAGUGAGGAAGGCCUUAGGGUUGUAAAACUCUUUCAGUGGGGAAGAUAAUGACGGUACCCACAGAAAAAGUCCCGGCAAACUC
This 418-nucleotide ribosomal RNA is filed under the name Anaplasma phagocytophilum. Its description in RNAcentral is "bacterial SSU rRNA". It matches the Rfam family "Bacterial small subunit ribosomal RNA", at positions 57 to 503 of the family's 1533-position model. The record is from RNAcentral. Lineage: Bacteria; Pseudomonadati; Pseudomonadota; Alphaproteobacteria; Rickettsiales; Anaplasmataceae.